This 322-nucleotide ribosomal RNA is filed under the name uncultured eukaryote. RNAcentral's name for it is "partial 18S ribosomal RNA". It matches the Rfam family "Eukaryotic small subunit ribosomal RNA", at positions 1470 to 1796 of the family's 1831-position model. The record is from RNAcentral.
CCCUUAGAUGUUCUGGGCCGCACGCGUGCUACACUGAGUGGAUCAGCGAGUCAGGUUGCGCGAAAGCGUUUCCUAAUCUUUAAAUCCGCUCGUGAUGGGGAUUGACGGUUGCAAUUUUCUGUCAUGAACGAGGAAUACCUUGUAAGCGCGGGUCAUCAUCCCGCGCUGAAUACGUCCCUGCCCUUUGUACACACCGCCCGUCGCACCUACCGAUUGGAUGGUCCGGUGAAGCCUCGGGAUUGUGGUUCUUGCCGCUUUAUUGUGGCGUGACCGCGAGAACUUGUCUAAACCUUAUCAUCUAGAGGAAGGUGAAGUCGUAACA